GAUGCCAGCUAGCGAUCCGCCAAAGUUCCUCCGAUGACUUGGUGGGCAGCUUCCGGGAAACCAAAGCAUUUGGGUUCCGGGGGAAGUAUGGUUGCAAAGCUGAAACUUAAAGGAAUUGACGGAAGGGCACCACCAGGAGUGGAGCCUGCGGUUAAAUUUGACUCAACACGGGAAACCUCACCAGGCCCGGACACCGGAAGAAUUGACAGAUUGAGAGCUCUUUCUUGAUUCGGUGGGUGGUGGUGCAUGGCCGUUCUUAGUUGGUGGAGCGAUUUGUCUGGUUAAUUCCGAUAACGAACGAGACUCUAGCCUACUAAAUAGACGUACUUUAUUACCGGCAUCUCAAGGCCCAUCGGCUGUAUUGUUACUGAAUGUUAUUUGUAUAUUUUGUUGAUAUAUAUUUAUUAUAUGUAUGAUUGAUAAUAUGUGUGUAUUAUAU
RNAcentral lists this ribosomal RNA (439 nucleotides) under Myrmeleon hyalinus. Its description in RNAcentral is "bacterial SSU rRNA". It matches the Rfam family "Eukaryotic small subunit ribosomal RNA", at positions 1038 to 1438 of the family's 1831-position model. The record is from RNAcentral. Lineage: Eukaryota; Metazoa; Arthropoda; Insecta; Neuroptera; Myrmeleontidae.